RNAcentral lists this ribosomal RNA (451 nucleotides) under Austrogomphus amphiclitus. RNAcentral's name for it is "partial 16S ribosomal RNA". It matches the Rfam family "Bacterial large subunit ribosomal RNA", at positions 1926 to 2585 of the family's 2925-position model. The record is from RNAcentral. Lineage: Eukaryota; Metazoa; Arthropoda; Insecta; Odonata; Gomphidae.
AACGGCCGCGGUAUUUUGACCGUGCAAAGGUAGCAUAAUCAUUAGUCUUUUAAUAGAAGGCUGGUAUGAAGGGUUUGACGAGCUGUUGACUGUCUCAUUUAAUUUGAAUUUAAAAUUUAACUUUUCAGUUAAAAGGCUGAAAUAUUAUUGGAAGACGAGAAGACCCUAUAGAUCUUUAUAAUUAAAUUAAUUAAUUAAUUUUUGUUAAUUGUGAUUUUUUAUAAAUUUAAUUAUUUUGUUGGGGUGACAGAAAUAUAUAAUUAACUUUUUUAUUUAUAUAACAUUGAUAAAUGAUUUUUAGAUCCAAUCUUAUUGAUUGUUAGAAUAAGUUACCUUAGGGAUAACAGCGUAAUCUUUCUUUAGAGUUCACAUUCACAGAAAGGCUUGCGACCUCGAUGUUGGAUUAAGAAAAUAAUUAGGUGUAGCCGCUUAAUAUAUAGGUCUGUUCGAC